UGAGGAAUAUUGGUCAAUGGGCGGGAGCCUGAACCAGCCAAGUCGCGUGAAGGAAGAAGGAUCUAUGGUUCGUAAACUUCUUUUGCAGGGGAAUAAAGUGCAGGACGUGUCCUGUUUUGUAUGUACCCUGAGAAUAAGGCUCGGCUAACUACGUGCCAGCAGCCGCGGUAAAACGUAGGAGCCAAGCGUUAUCCGAAUUCACUGGGCGUAAAGCGCGUGCAGGCGGCCUGGUAAGUUGGAUGUGAAAUCUCCCGGCUCAACUGGGAGAGGCCGUUCAAGACUGUCAUGCUAGAGGGCGACAGAGGGAGGUGGAAUUCCGGGUGUAGUGGUGAAAUGCGUAGAUAUCCGGAGGAACACCAGAGGCGAAGGCGACCUCCUGGGUCGUACCUGACGCUGAGAUGCGAAAGCUAGGGGAGCGAACG
RNAcentral lists this ribosomal RNA (422 nucleotides) under uncultured bacterium. RNAcentral describes it as "bacterial SSU rRNA". It matches the Rfam family "Bacterial small subunit ribosomal RNA", at positions 355 to 774 of the family's 1533-position model. The record is from RNAcentral.